UGGCCCUCCAGCUGUUUGGGACUACAGUUCCCAUCAUCUUUGACCACUGGUCCUGUUAGCUAGGGAUAAUGGGAGUUGUAGUCCCAAAACAGCUGGAGGGCCA
This is a non-coding RNA of Podarcis lilfordi (Lilford's wall lizard), 103 nucleotides long. Lineage: Eukaryota; Metazoa; Chordata; Lepidosauria; Squamata; Lacertidae. The record is from the annotation of a GenBank genome assembly.